UACAGAGGUCUCAAGCGUUGUUCGGAUUCAUUGGGCGUAAAGGGUGCGUAGGCGGCGCGGUAAGUCGGGUGUGAAAUCUUGGAGCUUAACUCCGAAACUGCAUUCGAUACUGCCGUGCUUGAGGACUGGAGAGGAGACUGGAAUUUACGGUGUAGCGGUGAAAUGCGUAGAGAUCGGAAAGAACACCAACGGCGAAAGCACUCUGCUGGGCCGACACUGACACUGAGAGACGAAAGCUAGGGGAGCGAAUGGG
Molecule: ribosomal RNA, 253 nt
Filed under: uncultured bacterium
Lineage: Bacteria
Description: partial 16S ribosomal RNA
Rfam family: Bacterial small subunit ribosomal RNA
Source: RNAcentral